Small nuclear RNA from Sceloporus undulatus (fence lizard), 114 nucleotides. RefSeq annotates it as U5 spliceosomal RNA. NCBI's taxonomy places the organism in Eukaryota, Metazoa, Chordata, Lepidosauria, Squamata, Phrynosomatidae. The transcript has a single exon. The record is from RefSeq and is a predicted model, not a curated record.
GUACUCUGGUUUCUCUUCAGAUCUUAUAAAUCUUUCGCCUUUUACUAAAGAUUUUUGUGGAGAGGAACAUUUAUGAGUUUGUAACCAAUUUUAGGAGCGCUGGUGGCACAGUGG